This 403-nucleotide ribosomal RNA is filed under the name uncultured microorganism. Its description in RNAcentral is "bacterial SSU rRNA". It matches the Rfam family "Bacterial small subunit ribosomal RNA", at positions 9 to 416 of the family's 1533-position model. The record is from RNAcentral.
GAGUUUGAUCGUGGCUCAGAUUGAACGCUGGCGGCAUGCCUUACACAUGCAAGUCGAACGGUAACAGGUCUUCGGAUGCUGACGAGUGGCGAACGGGUGAGUAAUACAUCGGAACGUGCCCGACCGUGGGGGAUAACGAAGCGAAAGCUUUGCUAAUACCGCAUAAGAUCUACGGAUGAAAGCAGGGGACCGCAAGGCCUUGCGCGAACGGAGCGGCCGAUGGCAGAUUAGGUAGUUGGUGGGAUAAAAGCUUACCAAGCCGACGAUCUGUAGCUGGUCUGAGAGGACGACCAGCCACACUGGGACUGAGACACGGCCCAGACUCCUACGGGAGGCAGCAGUGGGGAAUUUUGGACAAUGGGCGAAAGCCUGAUCCAGCCAUGCCGCGUGCAGGAUGAAGGCC